GACGAACGCCGGCGGCGUGCUUAACACAUGCAAGUCGAGCGGUAAGGCCCUUUCGGGGGUACACGAGCGGCGAACGGGUGAGUAACACGUGGGUGACCUGCCCUCAGCUCUGGGAUAAGCCCGGGAAACUGGGUCUAAUACUGGAUAUGACUCCACGGUGCAUGCCGUGGGGUGGAAAGCCUUGUGCGGCUGAGGAUGGGCCCGCGGCCUAUCAGCUUGUUGGUGGGGUGAUGGCCACCAAGGCGACGACGGGUAGCCGGCCUGAGAGGGCGACCGGCCACACUGGGACUGAGACACGGCCCAGACUCCUACGGGAGGCAGCAGUGGGGAAUAUUGGACAAUGGGCGAAAGCCUGAUCCAGCAAUGCCGCGUGUGUGAAGAAGGCCUGCGGGUUGUAAAGCAC
This 403-nucleotide ribosomal RNA is filed under the name uncultured bacterium. RNAcentral's name for it is "bacterial SSU rRNA". It matches the Rfam family "Bacterial small subunit ribosomal RNA", at positions 28 to 433 of the family's 1533-position model. The record is from RNAcentral.